GAUGAACGCUGGCGGCGUGCCUAAUACAUGCAAGUCGAGCGAACGGACGAGAAGCUUGCUUCUCUGAUGUUAGCGGCGGACGGGUGAGUAACACGUGGAUAACCUACCUAUAAGACUGGGAUAACUUCGGGAAGCCGGAGCUAAUACCGGAUGAUAUUUUGAACCGCAUGGUUCAAAAGUGAAAGACGGUCUUGCUGUCACUUAUAGAUGGAUCCGCGCUGCAUUAGCUAGUUGGUAAGGUAACGGCUUACCAAGGCAACGAUGCAUAGCCGACCUGAGAGGGGGGUCGCCCACAUUGGAACUUAGCCACGGUCCAGCCUCCUACGGGACGCAGCAGUAGGGAAUCUUCCGCAAUGGGCGAAAGCCUGACGGAGCAACGCCGCGUGAGUGAUGAAGGUCUUCGGAUCGUAAAACUCUGUUAUUAGGGAAGAACAUAUGUGUAAGUAACUGUGCACAUCUUGACGGUACCUAAUCAGAAAGCCACGGCUAACUACGUG
This 497-nucleotide ribosomal RNA is filed under the name uncultured bacterium. RNAcentral's name for it is "partial 16S ribosomal RNA". It matches the Rfam family "Bacterial small subunit ribosomal RNA", at positions 28 to 507 of the family's 1533-position model. The record is from RNAcentral.